RNAcentral lists this ribosomal RNA (582 nucleotides) under uncultured bacterium. Its description in RNAcentral is "bacterial SSU rRNA". It matches the Rfam family "Bacterial small subunit ribosomal RNA", at positions 97 to 671 of the family's 1533-position model. The record is from RNAcentral.
GGCGGACGGGUGAGUAAUGUAUCGGAACGUGCCCAGUAGCGGGGGAUAACUACUUGAAAGAGUAGCUAAUACCGCAUACGCCCUACGGGGGAAAGGGGGGGAUCGCAAGACCUCUCACUAUUGGAGCGGCCGAUAUCGGAUUAGCUAGUUGGUGGGGUAACGGCUCACCAAGGCGACGAUCCGUAGCUGGUUUGAGAGGACGACCAGCCACACUGGGACUGAGACACGGCCCAGACUCCUACGGGAGGCAGCAGUGGGGAAUUUUGGACAAUGGGGGAAACCCUGAUCCAGCCAUCCCGCGUGUGCGAUGAAGGCCUUCGGGUUGUAAAGCACUUUUGGCAGGAAAGAAACGGCACGGGUUAAUAACCCGUGUUGAUGACGGUACCUGCAGAAUAAGCACCGGCUAACUACGUGCCAGCAGCCGCGGUAAUACGUAGGGUGCAAGCGUUAAUCGGAAUUACUGGGCGUAAAGCGUGCGCAGGCGGUUCGGAAAGAAAGAUGUGAAAUCCCAGGGCUUUAACCUUUGGAACUGCAUUUUUAACUACCGGGCUAGAGUGCGUUCAGAGGGGGGGUGGAAUUCCC